AAGAGCUCAGUGAACUGCACGGCCUCGCGGGCGAUGAGGAGAGUGGCGAAGGAGGAAGAGCCUUUCCCUCUCCCUUCCUCUCUUUCUGCUGCUUCGGAUCUGCGAUGCCUUGACCUGAUUCGGGUUUCUGGGGUUUCUUUCAUGUGCUUGUGCAGGUGCGUGGCCGGCCAUGGCGCUGGUGACUUGAGGCCUGGGCUGUUCACGGCUGCAGAGAGGUGAGCUGUCCUGUGCUCGCUUUUUUUCCCCUUG
Molecule: long non-coding RNA, 249 nt
Filed under: Setaria italica (foxtail millet)
Lineage: Eukaryota; Viridiplantae; Streptophyta; Magnoliopsida; Poales; Poaceae
Description: long non-coding RNA (SITA_LNC003627)
Source: RNAcentral